UGGGGAAUUUUGGACAAUGGGGGCAACCCUGAUCCAGCCAUCCCGCGUGUGCGAUGAAGGCCUUCGGGUUGUAAAGCACUUUUGGCAGGGAAGAAACAGCCUGGGAUAAUACCCCGGGCGACUGACGGUACCUGCAGAAUAAGCACCGGCUAACUACGUGCCAGCAGCCGCGGUAAUACGUAGGGUGCAAGCGUUAAUCGGAAUUACUGGGCGUAAAGCGUGCGCAGGCGGUUCGGAAAGAAAGGUGUGAAAUCCCAGGGCUUAACCUUGGAACUGCACUUUUAACUACCGAGCUAGAGUACGUCAGAGGGGGGUAGAAUUCCACGUGUAGCAGUGAAAUGCGUAGAGAUGUGGAGGAAUACCGAUGGCGAAGGCAGCCCCCUGGGAUGAUACUGACGCUCAUGCACGAAAGCGUGGGGAGCAAACAGGAUUAGAUACCCUGGUAGUCCACGCCCUAAACGAUGUCAACUAGCUGUUGGGGUUUAUUAACCUUAGUAGCGCAGCUAACGCGUGAAGUUGACCGCCUGGGGAGUACGGUCGCAAGAUUAAAACGUCAAAGUGAAUUGACGGGGGUCAUAGCUGUUUUCC
Molecule: ribosomal RNA, 588 nt
Filed under: uncultured bacterium
Lineage: Bacteria
Description: partial 16S ribosomal RNA
Rfam family: Bacterial small subunit ribosomal RNA
Source: RNAcentral